CAAUAGCGUAUAUUAAAGUUGUUGCGGUAAAAAAGCUCGUAGUUGGAUUUCUGUUGAGAGCGACCGGUCCAUACCAUGUAUGCGUAUCUGGCUUGCUCUCGGCAUCCUCUCGAUAGACGUUGCUGCGCUUGAUUGCGUGGCGCGGAUCUCGGGACUUUUACUUUGAGGAAAUUAGAGUGUUCACGGCAGGCUUUCGCCAGAAUACAUUAGCAUGGAAUAAUACUAUAGGAUCUUGGUUCUAUUUUGUUGGUUUCUAGAAUUGAGAUAAUGAUUAAUAGGGACAAUUGGGGGCAUUCGUAUCAACACGUCAGAGGUGGAAUUCUUGGAUUUGUUAAAGACGGACUACUGCGAAAGCAUUUGCCAAGGAUGUUUUCAUUGA
This 379-nucleotide ribosomal RNA is filed under the name uncultured eukaryote. Its description in RNAcentral is "partial 18S ribosomal RNA". It matches the Rfam family "Eukaryotic small subunit ribosomal RNA", at positions 592 to 976 of the family's 1831-position model. The record is from RNAcentral.